ACCAGAUGACUAAAGUUUAGACUUUGCAGAAGCAAUAUCGAUCACAAAACGGUAUCGGACAUCAUUCCUUACGAGCCUGUGCAGUGCUUCAUUGAUAUAAUCCGGAGUCACUAACUCGAUGUCACAGGUGAUGUUAUGCUUGCCGCAGAAUUCCAUCAUCUCUUGUGUCUCCUUGAUUCCACCAAUAACACUGCCAGUCACCACCCUUUUACCAAAAAUCAACGGAAGAGCUGGUAGUUCGACUGGUUUAGCGGGAGCACCGACAAACACCAAGGUCCCAGACACUUUGAGCAGCUCUAGAAUCGGCCCCAGCGAAUGGCAGGCGGG
This 327-nucleotide unclassified non-coding RNA is filed under the name Hevea brasiliensis (rubber tree). Lineage: Eukaryota; Viridiplantae; Streptophyta; Magnoliopsida; Malpighiales; Euphorbiaceae. The record is from RNAcentral.